UACGGAGGGGGCUAGCGUUGUUCGGAAUGACUGGGCGUAAAGCGCGCGUAGGCGGGCGGUCAAGUUGGGGGUGAAAGCCCGGGGCUCAACCCUGGAACGGCCUCCAAUACUGACGGUCUAGAGUUCGAGAGAGGUGGGUGGAAUUCCGAGUGUAGAGGUGAAAUUCGUAGAUAUUCGGAGGAACACCAGUGGCGAAGGCGGCCCACUGGCUCGACACUGACGCUGAGGUGCGAAAGCGUGGGGAGCAAACAGG
This 253-nucleotide ribosomal RNA is filed under the name uncultured bacterium. Its description in RNAcentral is "partial 16S ribosomal RNA". It matches the Rfam family "Bacterial small subunit ribosomal RNA", at positions 524 to 776 of the family's 1533-position model. The record is from RNAcentral.